This 3888-nucleotide long non-coding RNA is filed under the name Sus scrofa (pig). Its description in RNAcentral is "lncRNA (ENSSSCG00050070241.1)". Lineage: Eukaryota; Metazoa; Chordata; Mammalia; Artiodactyla; Suidae. The record is from RNAcentral.
GUUUUAUUUCACAUGUUUGAUGUGAAAACUUCUUGAAUUAUCAUUACCAAAUAUGUACGGAGCAUUUCUUAUGAACAAGUCGAUUCUUGCUAGGAAAUGUGAGGAAAGGAAAUGAGGAAUAUAGUUGUGAUGGGCUGAAUUGUUUCCCCCAGCCCCAGAAUUAUAUGUUGAAGUCCUAACUGACCCCAGUAUCUCAGAAUAUAACUGUAGUUUGGAGACCAAGUCUUUGCAAAAGUAAUUAAGUUAAAAUGAGAUCACCAGAGUAGGCUCUAAUCCAGCAUGAUCAAGGUCCUUAUAAGACUCUGACACAGAAGCUUUGGACACAGACACACAGAGAGAAAUCAAUGUGAAGACAUCGGAGGAAAUUAUCCCUCUGCAAGUCAAGAAGAGAGGCCUAGGACAGAUUCUUCCCUCAUGACUCUCCGAAGAAACCAACACUGCCAACAUCUUGAUCUUGGACUUCAAGCUUCCAGUACUGUGAGAAAAUAAAUUUCUGUUGUUUCAGCCAUCCAAUCUGUGUGUGAUACUUUGUUAACGACAGCCCUAGCAAACUAACACCACUUCAUUCAGGAUUCUUAUUCACUAAGAUCUUAUGCUUAUUUCUACACUCAAGAGUGUAAGAUAAAAAUGAAUAUAAUUUAGGCUAUUUAGGAUUUUAAGUAUACAUAUAAUGAAAUAAGUUAUAUUUCAAAUAGCAGCCUUGUGGGAGCAAAGGAGGAUUACUUUUUUGUUACCAAUCCAAAGAGAAUUUAUGGAAUGUUUUUAUUCUUAUGUGCAAAAAGUACUGAACACAAUUUCUAAAACAUAUAAUUAAUAAGUGUUGGUCACUUUCUGCUCUGUUUCUCUACUGCAAUGUAAGUAGAACCUGAAAAAAAAUCUUGCCGCUAAUAUAAUUUACCUUGAAGAUCUUGUUAAUUUCUCCUUUUAGGUAUCCUGUCCUUAAUUUUGCUAAGCUCUUUCCAAAUAACAAAUGCUUCUUAGAUUUAGUUACCAAGCCACAGCUCUAACUACCAAGAUGCUAUGAGUUCCAAGUCACAUUAUUCUUGACCUUUCAGUUCUCUACAUGUCCUAGUGCCCACUUAUUCCGGGCUGUGCUCUGCUAUCUCAUGGGAUAAAUGUUCCAUCCUAUAUGAGGCAUGUUUGCUCCUGCACAUUUAUUACUUCAUUCCCUAUAUACUUAUAACAGUGCAUAUUAUAAUUUUCAUGUCAAACCAAAAAAAAAAAAAUGAUUUACUCUAGUUCUAUCUGUAAUGGUGAAAAAAAAAUGUUCUGGACUGAAGUGAAGUUUAGUUAUUUAUAAAAUCAUAUUCAGUUAACGUUUUCUUCAUACAUAUCUAUUAUGCUUUAAACACAACUUUAAUACCCAUUUCACAUAUGUAUUACAAUUUUUUACAAGGAAAAAAAGCUCUAACGAAAUGUAAUGAUCUGCCCUAUACCACACAGUUGACAAACAGUGAAAUUGAAAUUCAAACCUAAAUUCUGACCUAGGUUUAUUUUUUAAUUAUUAUUAUUAUGCCUUACUGCUUCCUAUUUUGGCAUUCCAAUAUUUUUAUAAACACUAGUAGAAAUUAGGGGAAAGACAAAGGAAAGUGUUCAAAACAGGUAUUUAUUUUCCAAUCUAUCUCCUAGCCCCUCUUCCGUUAUUUUCAUCUUCAGGGAGAAAAACAAGAACUGGCAAAAAAUAGGCAGCAGAGUAGCUCAUGCUGUAAACAAGAGGUGCUGGGUGCUCCCCUAGGAUAAAUACUGUUUAAAAAUGCAUCAAUGUAAUAUCUGGAAAGCACUCUAAAAACAGAGAGGCCUAUUUAAACUCCUUCAGUCAAGCAAAUUGCAUGUAUAUUUCAUCUUAACACUUUGCUUACUUGGAAGAACAAGCAAAUUUAAAGAGGCUUUGUGUUCUAAACUAAAGAAAAGUUGUCCACAGAAUUUUCCUUGGAGCACAGCAUUAUUGAUUUUUCUAGAAGUCAUCCAGAAGGAAGUAAAAAUUAUUACAACUUGGGAACAAAACACACUUGACAAAUGUAAGCUUCUGGGUGUAGACUGGGAAAACUUCUUACCGUAUCUGAGCUGCAUUUUUAAAAAAGUAAGCAAAGCUUAAUCUUGAAGUUAUUUCUUUUUUUUUUAAUUUCUAAAAAACUUCUCUAGGGAUAAAAAGAAGAGACUAUUAAGAAAUACUCUGAAAGGAUUUUGAUUUUUUUUAACUUAUAAUGAUUUUCAUUUUUUCCAUUAUAGCUGGUUUACAGCGUUGUGUCAAUUUUCUAUUUUAAAACCUUAACUAUCCAGCACAAUUCCAAAGGGAAGGAUGUGUUCAAAACAAACAAAAAGGAGCAUCUUUACCGUUAAAAAUCAGUUUUAGAAAAUAAUAAAUGUUAAUAAUAAUAAGCCUCUCAACCUUGAUCGCUCCCUGAUAUUCUCUAGGUAUGGAAAUUACCUUUAGCUUCUCUAAAUACUGCAGCCCAGCCAGUGUAUUAGCAAAUAAACAAACUUCAGUAAGAAGACCGCAACACACAUCAGGCAAGACACAGACAUGUAAUUCCAAGUGCUAAUUCUAUGACCAGUUACUAAAUGAUAUCAUUGGGUUAAGAAUAACAAGAACACUGUGAUGGAUAUGUUGAAACCUCUAAGCAUCUAUAAGUUGGAGUUGCCAAAUCUGUGUAAAUACUUAUGAUCCCUCACAUAGCCACUUGCAUAUAUCACAUCCAAACACUCUAAUAGGUAGAAAAUGCGAUGACAAUAACAUUGCAAAAUUAUAACUGGAUAUUUUUUCUAUUCUGUUCUAUUAGAAAAAAAAUGUAACUAUGAAAACAUAUGACUUUGGAUGAUUAAGUUCAAGUUGUUCUAGUUUUUCCUGGAAGGAGAAAACAGCUCUGGCUAAAGAAAUCAGAUUAAUGGUAAAAGGAAGGAGUUCAAUUUAAGAGACAAAAGGGAUGCAGCUGAGAAAGAGAGAAAGGAAGAAAAGGAGGGGUCUAGAGCAUCAGCUGAACACUCAAUCCCACUCCCUGAAUAAUCCACUGAUGACUGUACCUCUCACAGAAGAUGUUCAGUGAUGUUCCUUGAAAAAAAGAUCACAAAAUCAUUACAGAAAGAGGACACACUUUGGAAUUACAUUCUCCAGUGAAACACAAACUCAGUUAUUUACUGGAAAUGUACUCUGAUCCUCAAUGCCUUCAUAAUAAAAUAGUGAUUGUAUCAAUUAUCUAGUUAAGUCGCUGAGAGUACUAGCAGUAAUGCAAGAAAAAUGCCCACCACAUGGUAGAUGAAUGGUAGCUAAUACACUGUCCUUUCUUUACAUAAUCCUGGAAAUUUCGGAGCAAACAUUUAUUUCCAUUGAGAAAUGGUAAAUUUUAAAUGAUCAUGAAAGUAUGCCUUUUCACGUGAAAAAAAAAAAGUCAGGUUUAUUAUCUGCUAGGAUGUAAACACACCCUGUGUAACAUUCAUAAUCUACCUAUUCCACUUCUUAUGUUAACAUAGACUCCUGUGUCUCUCCCUGGAUACCCAUCACUGAUCUAAACCUCCCCAUCCCCAGACAUAAAAAGAUUAUGGAAAAAAAGAGGGUUAGCAAACAAAAGAAAACAGACAGUUUUUUGUUUGUUUGUUUUUUUGUUUUUAAUGCAGCCAAGUCCUGUGAAUUAAACUGCUGAGAAAAACAGACCCAUUUCUUACCCCAUGCUUUAAAAAGUGACAAAUUAUUUAUUGGAAAAUUUGUGUCUUGGCUUGAAGAGAAUGAUCUCUACCCUUGGUGUACAUAAAUUGAGAACUGGAAACGAGAUGUGAAAUCUUUAAUCUUCUGGUGAAAUAAUUCAUCAUGACACUUGGAUAAUUAAGAGGCUACCUCAGGCCAUGGGGAGAACCACAAUAACAAAAAAAAAAAAAAAAAAAAAAAAAAAAAAA